RNAcentral lists this non-coding RNA (30 nucleotides) under Mus musculus (house mouse). The record is from RNAcentral. Lineage: Eukaryota; Metazoa; Chordata; Mammalia; Rodentia; Muridae.
UGAGAAUAUGCAUGGGUAUCACUGUGCCCC